This 72-nucleotide transfer RNA is filed under the name Thyrsitoides marleyi (blacksail snake mackerel). Its description in RNAcentral is "tRNA-Val". The record is from RNAcentral. Lineage: Eukaryota; Metazoa; Chordata; Actinopteri; Scombriformes; Gempylidae.
CGGAGAAUAGCUAAAUAAGAAUAGCCUUUCCCUUACACCGAAAAGUCAUCCGUGCAACUCGGAUUUCUCCGA